AUUGUUAACUAACUUAGUAGCGUUACCUCGAUAGCUAACCUCUUGACCAUCCAAGUCCUGUCUCCAACGAGGAUUAAAGACUACAUGGGAUCUAUCUGCUGCCUUUGACAUCGUGAACCAUCAGCUCCUACUCUCCACCCUCAGAGCUGGGCGUCUCAGCCUCUGGACAGUCCUGGAUUGCAUCCUAACUGGCAGGUUGCUCCUACCAGGUGACGUCUGCAUCACAUGCUCUCACUACUGGUGUCCCCCAGGGUUCGGUUCUAGGCCCUCUCUUCUUUUCUCUAUACACAAAGUCACUCUGCUUUGUCAUAUAUUCACAUGGUCUCUCCCAUCAUUGCUAUGCGGAUGAUACGCAACUACUUUUCUCCUCCCCCCUUCUUCUGACACCAGGUGAUGACACAUCACAUCUCUGCAUGCCUGGCAGAUAUUUGAGCUUGGAUGUCAGCCUACCACCUCAAGCUCAACUUCGACAAGACAGAGUUGCUAUUUGUCCCGGGAAAGGCCUGCCUUCUCACAGAACUCUCAAUCGCGGCUGACAACUCUGUGGUGUCCCCUUUCCAGAGUGCAAAGAACCAGGGGAUCAGCUUCUUCUCAGCCCAGUCAAUGCUCUUCUCUGGCCUGGCAGCCUAAUGGUGGAAUGAGCUUCCCCCUGCAGCUAGGACAGCAGAGUCCCUUGCCCAUCAUCCGAAAACAUAUUUUUUAAAGCUAUGGAUCCGGAUCACGUUCUGCACAUUUUACCCAUCCUCUUCUGAACCAUUACGUCUGUGCCUCAUAUUUCUGGACAGCCGAAAUAAAAACCCUGCUGCGAUUUGAACAAACAUUUCAAGGGCAUUAUGAAAGCUACAACCUUGUCUGUCUGUUGUAACAGAUCUUGCAGUUGCUCAAGCAGGACGCAGUCCCUACACUGUAUUGGAGCAAAGAAAUAUGCUUUUUGUAGUAUGAUGUAGGCUAAUCUUUGUAGUUGCUGCCAUAUCUUAGCCACUAGCCAGAGUUUCUGAAAAAGAACGCUAAUACUUUGACUGCCUGUCUGCCUCCUCCUUAGCCAAUGUUUGUAAUGAUGAUUAAAAAGAUUAGCGAUUUAGACUGCAUGUCUGUGUGUUGCUUGCGUUUGAUAUGCUGCCUUGAUAGCUGCAUGUCACUCCCCACUUUAGUUUUACAUUGGGGCAAAAAACUAUCUGCGAGUUUAUACGAACAUGCUUAUCAUGUCCUUGUGUACAACAUGUAAAUAGCUGCAUGUAGCCCAACUCCCCUCCUGAAAAAGGAACAUGAAAUUGUGCUUAGGCUUAAUAGCCUAUUGAGGCAUGGAAUACAAAUGUCCUUUGUGUACAACAUGAAGUGUGUAAAUUACACCAGACAAAGGCAUUAAUCGCUGAUCAAAGUGGCAGUGGAGCACUGAGCAGCAGCUACAUAGGCAGUGUAGUGGGCAGCCGCUAAAAGAAUCCUGCACAUAAGCAGAAAUCUCUGUAUUUUUUUGCCAUGGCAAAUAGGGUUUCCAGAAACUCUAGAACCACAGCCUUCGACAAAAAAUGUUUAAAGUUUGCGGGAGGUGAGCACCUUCUCACGUCAAGUUCCAUUUUUAUAAACGCAAACUUUUGCAUGAACUGGCACACGCAUAUUUUGGGGUAUAUUUUGUAUAUGCACGGUUUAUAAAUUAGACCCCUCUUUUUAAGCCCCUUGUAGAUCUUCUGCUCUAAAAUCUCUUUUUGGGUGUAUCUGCUGCUGUCACUGCCACAUCUACAGGUAACUGCCAAAAUAAAGGAAACACCAACAUAAAAUGUUUUAAUAGGGUGUUGGGCCUCCACGAGCCAUAACAGCUUCAUUACACCUUGGCAUAGAUUCUACACAUUUCUGAAACUCUAUUGGAGGGAUGCGACAUCCAUUCAUCCACAAAACAUUCCAUAAUUUGGUGUUUUGUUGAUAGAGGUGGAAAACAGUCUCAGGCACCCCUCCAAAAUCUCCAUGGCGUGUUCAAGUUGGUUGAUAUCUAGUAACUGAGAUGGCCCAUAUUUUCAUGCUCAUCAAACCAUUCAGUGACCACUCGUGCCCUGUCGAUGGAAGGACUGUCAUCCUAUUGGGGAAAAGCCAUGGUAGCCAAAAUAAUAGCCUGCCCAGCAUUUUUUCAUGACCCUAAGCAUGAUGGGAUGUCAAUUGCUCAGUAACCACACCUGUGUGGAAGCAUCUGCUUUUAAUAUACUUUUCAUCCCCCAUUUACUCAAUUCUUUGCAUUAUUUUGGUAGUUAGAGCGUAAAUCUCAGAAAAUACAGCUAUCAGUGCAGGACAGUUAAUAACCACAGCAAUAAACACAAGAAACCAUACGUUACUAAAACUCAUCCUCUCUGGAGCUCUCUCUUCAGGCCUACUCAGUCACCCUUGGGCUGUCCUCUACUCUCUUCACUGCCUCAGCAUAGGACACUUUCUGCACAACUCAAAUUCUGUCAAUCUCAACCUGUCUCUCUCUCACAGGGCACACAGUUGACAACGUGCUUUCUCUAUCCCAACUCCCAACACUCUCCCUUCUAGACACUGCUGCAACAUGUCAAUCAUUUACACCUAAAGCACCAUAGCAGGGAUCCAGAGAGCAAAGUGUAGGUGGGCGAGUAGAAUGAUACUGUGAUCAGCUGAGCUGAGGGGGCAGGGGGAGUGACCUAUAGGCUCCUGAAAAUGGGCCAUAGCAUAAUUCUAGAAUCAUAUUGUGGUGAGAAGCACAGGUCACCUUUCAUUUUUUUUUUUUUUUUUUUUUUUUACAUUUUGAUGGUCGAAUUUUUGUGCUUUAUCCAUGGUGCAAUGGUUAAAAGCCCCAAGGACAAAAUGGUGAGAAUCUGGUGACAUGGUAUCCAAGUUUAUGCAGGGUUGCUCUUUGGGUGGAUAUAAAUAAUAUAGAAUAGUUGGGGGAAUUCACGUGGCAGAUAAAAGGGGCAAAGAGAUGGUCUCGGCCCUAAUACUGUUUUGCACCAGUUCUUAUUUACAUAAAUGCAAACCCCACCGCACCGUUAUUUUACUGUCUCAGCUUGUCUCUAUCCAAAUGGACUGGUGCGCCAAAUCCAUCAAUGGAAAGACCGUUGUCACCCACUCCACUAUCCAACCAAGUCUCUGUGAAAGCAAGAACAAGGGCAUUCCUACAGUUGAAGUCGGAAGUUUACAUACACCUUUAAACUCAGUUUAUCACAAUUCCUGACAUUUAUUCAAAGUAAAAAUGCCCUGUUUUAGGUCAGUUAGGAUCACCACUUUAUUUUAAGAAUGUUAAAUGUCAGAAUAAUAGUAGAGAGAAUUAUUUAUUUCAGCUUUUAUUUCUUUCAUCACAUUCCUAGUGGGUCAGAAGUUUACAUGCACUAAAUUCAUAUUUGGUAGCAUUGCCUUUAAAUAGUUGAACUUGGGUAAACGUUUUGGGUAGCCUUCCACAAGCUUCCCACAACAAGUUGGGUAAAUUUUGGCCCAUUCCUCCUGACAGAGCUGGUGUACCUGAGUCAGGUUUAUCUUGCUUAGACUGUAAACUCUCCUUCCAGACACACAUAAAGCAUCCCCAAUCCAAAAUUAAAUCUAGAAUUGGCUUCCUCUAUCGCAACAAAGGAUCCUUCACUCAUGAUGCCAAAAAUAUCCUCGUAAAACUGACCAUCCUACCGAUCAUCGACUUCGGUGAUGUCAUCUAUAAAAUAGCCUCCAACACUCUACUCAACAAACUGGAUGCAGUCUAUCACAGUGCCAUCCGUUUUGUCACCAAAGCCCCAUACACUAUCCACCAUUGCGACCUGUACGCUGUCGUUGGUUGGCCCACGCUUUAUACUCGUCACCAAGCCCACUGGCUACAGGUUAUCUACAAGUCCCUGCUAGGUAAAGCUCCGCCUUAUCUCAGCUCACUGGUCACCAUAGCAGCACCCACUCGUAGCACGCGCUCCAGCAGGUAUAUCUCACUGGUCACCCCCAAAGCUAAUUCUUCCUUUGGCCGCCUUUCCUGCCAGUUCUCUGCUGCCAAUAACUGGAACGAACUGCAAAAAUCUCUGAAGCUGGAGACUCAAAUCUCCCUCACUAGCUUUAAGCACCAGCUGUCAGACCAGCUCACAGAUCACUGCACCUGUACAUAGCCCAUCUAUCUACUUACCUCAUCCCCAUACAGUAUUUAUUUAUCUUCCUCCCCAGUAUCUCUACUUGCACAUUCAUCUUCUGCACAUCUACCAAUCCAGUAGUUAAUUGCUAUAUUGUCAUUACUUUGCCACCAUGGCCUAUUUAUUGCUUUAACUCUCUUAACUUUCCUCAUUUGCACUCUGUAUGUAGACUUUUUGUCUUAUUUUGUUCUACUUUAUUAUUGACUGUUUUGUUUAUUCCAUGAGUAACUCUGUGUUGUUGUAUGUGUCAAAUUGCUAUGCUUUAUCUUGGCCAGGUCACAGUUGCAAAUGAGAACUUGUUCUCAACUAGCCUACCUGGUUAAAUAAAGGUUAAAUAAAAAAUAAAAUAAA
Oncorhynchus masou masou (cherry salmon) is the source of this 4451-nucleotide long non-coding RNA. RefSeq lists it as uncharacterized. Lineage: Eukaryota; Metazoa; Chordata; Actinopteri; Salmoniformes; Salmonidae. The record is from RefSeq and is a predicted model, not a curated record. The transcript has 2 exons.